UUAGCUUUUUAUUUUAACCUUUUUUUUGUCAAAAGCAUCACUAAAUUUUUUUUAAUCCCUACACUACAAACAAUAAAUUUAUAAUUUAUAAUUUUACAUAAAAAAUAUUAAAUUACAUUGAUAACGAAUUACAUAGUACAUAUUCAUUCAACUUAUUUAACAUAAAAAAUAAUAAAACUCUUAAAAGAAGCUUUUAAUUUAUCUAUCAUAAAAUUUAUUUCAUAUUUUUUUCAACAAUUUAACC
RNAcentral lists this long non-coding RNA (244 nucleotides) under Ananas comosus (pineapple). Its description in RNAcentral is "long non-coding RNA (ACOM_LNC019177)". Lineage: Eukaryota; Viridiplantae; Streptophyta; Magnoliopsida; Poales; Bromeliaceae. The record is from RNAcentral.